This 500-nucleotide ribosomal RNA is filed under the name uncultured bacterium. Its description in RNAcentral is "partial 16S ribosomal RNA". It matches the Rfam family "Bacterial small subunit ribosomal RNA", at positions 30 to 523 of the family's 1533-position model. The record is from RNAcentral.
AUUGAACGCUGGCGGAAUGCUUUACACAUGCAAGUCGAGCGGCAGCGCGGACUUCGGUCUGGUGGCGAGUGGCGAACGGGUGAGUAAUACAUCGGAACGUGCCCAGUCGUGGGGGAUAACGUAGCGAAAGCUACGCUAAUACCGCAUACGAUCGAAGGAUGAAAGCGGGGGAUCGCAAGACCGCGCGCGAUUGGAGCGGCGGAUGGCGUCAUAGGUAGUUGGUGGGGUAAAGGCUCACCAAGCCGACGAUCUGUAGCUGGUCUGAGAGGACGACCAGCCACACUGGGACUGAGACACGGCCCAGACUCCUACGGGAGGCAGCAGUGGGGAAUUUUGGUCAAUGGGCGCAAGCCUGAUCCAGCCAUUCCGCGUGCAGGAUGAAGGUCCUCGGGUUGUAAACUGCCUUUGUACGGAACGAAAAGGCUCUGGUUAAUACCUGGGGCUCAUGACGGUACCGUAAGAAUAAGCACCGGCUAACUACGUGCCAGCCGCCGCUGUAA